RNAcentral lists this ribosomal RNA (717 nucleotides) under uncultured bacterium. RNAcentral describes it as "bacterial SSU rRNA". It matches the Rfam family "Bacterial small subunit ribosomal RNA", at positions 8 to 771 of the family's 1533-position model. The record is from RNAcentral.
AGGGUUUGAUCAUGGCUCAGAACGAACGCUGGCGGCAGGCCUAACACAUGCAAGUCGAGCGCACCUUUCGGGGUGAGCGGCGGACGGGUUAGUAACGCGUGGGAAUAUACCCUUUGGUACGGAAUAGCCUCUGGAAACGGAGAGUAAUACCGUAUGAGCCCUUCGGGGGAAAGAUUUAUCGCCAAAGGAUUAGCCCGCGUUAGAUUAGGUAGUUGGUGGGGUAAUGGCCUACCAAGCCUACGAUCUAUAGCUGGUUUUAGAGGAUGAUCAGCAACACUGGGACUGAGACACGGCCCAGACUCCUACGGGAGGCAGCAGUGGGGAAUCUUGGACAAUGGGCGCAAGCCUGAUCCAGCCAUGCCGCGUGAGUGAUGAAGGCCUUAGGGUCGUAAAGCUCUUUCGCCUGUGAAGAUAAUGACGGUAGCAGGUAAAGAAACCCCGGCUAACUCCGUGCCAGCAGCCGCGGUAAUACGGAGGGGGUUAGCGUUGUUCGGAAUUACUGGGCGUAAAGCGCACGUAGGCGGACUGGAAAGUUGGGGGUGAAAUCCCAGGGCUCAACCCUGGAACUGCCUCCAAAACUAUCAGUCUAGAGUUCGAGAGAGGUGAGUGGAAUUCCGAGUGUAGAGGUGAAAUUCGUAGAUAUUCGGAGGAACACCAGUGGCGAAGGCGGCUCACUGGCUCGAUACUGACGCUGAGGUGCGAAAGUGUGGGGAGCAA